CCCACACGUAUGUGUGUGGGACCCCAAAGGAUCACCAUUAAAUUUGGUACAGAUCUCUAGAAAAGUUAUCACAUGGGUGUGAGAUUUGAUGUUUUUAGAGAUAUGUGCCAAAUUUAAUGGUGAUCUUUUGGGGUCCUACACACAUGGGUGUAGG
This 154-nucleotide microRNA precursor is filed under the name Amborella trichopoda. Its description in RNAcentral is "MIR8565 microRNA precursor family". It matches the Rfam family "MIR8565 microRNA precursor family". Lineage: Eukaryota; Viridiplantae; Streptophyta; Magnoliopsida; Amborellales; Amborellaceae. The record is from Rfam by way of RNAcentral.